RNAcentral lists this long non-coding RNA (137 nucleotides) under Astyanax mexicanus (Mexican tetra). RNAcentral describes it as "lncRNA (ENSAMXG00005003463.1)". The record is from RNAcentral. Lineage: Eukaryota; Metazoa; Chordata; Actinopteri; Characiformes; Acestrorhamphidae.
GCUGUUACAAAUCGCGUCACUCUCUCGCCAGCUGAUCGGAGACACCGGCAAGAGUGGGAACCGACAGAAGGAGUAGCAGCAGCGGGAGCAGGAGCCUGUCCGCGGGGUGUGCAGACUGCGGAGCUGGUGGAUGACAA